AAAGCUCAGGAGCGACACGCCCCUGUGGCAAUCGAAUAAAUCCAUCGAUUAGUUUUUCUCGUUCGUGUAAAGUUCCGUCGUCGUGAGAGCCGAAGCAGAUCGACCCAGUCCAUCAGGCUAGUUACGAGCCAGCUUCUACGUACGGUUCCGGCUAGACGUGUGUGUUUAAGGACAAGGCAGGAAAGGUUAAUUUGGCCCUUGGUAUGGAGGAACAAGCAAAACUUAUCUUAAAGAAGUGCGAUGGACUUCCCCUUGCAAUAUCAACAAUAGGUGGAUUCCUGGCCACUAAACCUAAAACUGCUGUUGAAUGGAGGAAGAUGCAUGGCCGUAUUAGUGCUGAGUUGGAGAUCAACCCAGAGCUUAGGACUAUAAAGAAAGUCCUUAUGAGGAGCUAUGAUGGCUUACCCUACCACCUCAAGUCAUGUUUCUUAUACAUGGCCAUAUUCCCGGAAGACUACGCAAUUAAGCGCAAGCGUUUGGUGAGGCGAUGGAUUGCAGAGGGUUAUUGCAAGGAGAUGCAGGGCAUGACAGCUGAAGAAGUUGGUGACACCUACUUUGAUGAGCUUUUAGAGAGGAGUAUGAUUCUGCCGGGAGAAGGUGUAAACCAUCAUAGUGGAAAAGGUGAUUCUUGUCAGCUUCAUGAUAUCAUUCGUGAAAUAUGCAUCUCGAAGGCUAGGGAGGAGAACCUUGUUUUCACACUUGAGGAUGGAUGUUGUUUGAGCAGUACACAAGGUCCAAUACGUCAUCUUGUCAUUAGCAGCAAUUGGAAAAGAGAUGAAGUUGUGUUCGGUAGUAUGCUAGACUUGUUGCAAGUGUGAUCGCUGACCGUGUACGGAGAGUGGAGACCAUAUUUCAUCUCUGAGAAGAUGAGGUUUAUCCUAGUGCUCGAUUUGGAGGACACAUUACGGUUUAGAGAGCGCCAUCUUGAUAAAGUUGGGCAGCUCCAUCACCUCAGAUACCUCUCUAUAAGAAAUUGUCGUUAUUAUUGGCACCUUCCCAAUUCUAUUGGGAAUUUGAGCCACCUCCAAACAUUGGAUAUCAAAGGCACGUGUAUAGUUGAACUGCCAACAACUAUCAUCAAGCUUCGCAAGCUACAACACCUCAUAACUGGUUUUAAUAGUAGAUUAGGGAAGGAGGAUGCUAUUAUUGAGCUCGUUUGCAAUUGGUGGAGUAUGUAUGACAUCUCGUCCGGGUUCCAAGCUGAAGCAGGUCUGUUUAAGAGAAGCUGUAGAUAUUUGCAAUACAAGGGAGGUGUGGCUGUCAAAUUAUAUAGGAGACGUUCAGAACUUGGUUUGAACAUGCACGACUUAUUCAACCUGUCCAUCUUUAAACAUGGGGCUGGGAGUGAUGUUAAAGCUCCAAAAGGGUCUGGAAAAUUGACGUCCCUGCAAACACUGGGUGUUGUCAAUGUUUCAAGCGGAAAGGAAAAGAUCCUAAAGGAGCUCACUGCACUUACCCAGCUGCGUAAGCUUGGUGUGACUGGUAUCAACAAGGGAAACCAGAACUCUCAACCAACUUUGUUCUUUGACAGUGCAUGGCGAUGAUAUAGAUGGUUGUUUGGGUGGGGAUUGUUGCCACCAAAACAGCUCGAGAGCCUCAAGUUGGUCGGGCCCCUAGGCAAAGUGCCAGAUUGGAUGCACCACCUACAGAGUCUAUCAAAGUUGAACUUACAGGACAGCAAAUUGGAUAAAGCUGUUGACAUAGAAACCCUUGGGGGUCUACCAAACCUCGCAGUUUUACGACUGAGGUUCUUCGCAAUUGACAUAGAUGAUCUGAAUUUCCUAGGUUCAUCUUUCCUGAGCCUCGUGGUGCUCGAGCUUUACUUCGUGUUCAUGCUCAAUCUUUUGAAGUUUGAAAAGGACGCAAUGCCUAAGCUCGAGCUGCUACGAACUGAUAAAUACCUGGAGAUGAAGGGGCUACAGUUUCUCAGGAACCUCAAGGAAAUUCGGAUGGAUGGUGAAUACAUCGAUGAUAUGAAGACAGAGUUGCAGAAGCAGUAUCUGGAUCAUCUGUUAGCAAUAAUCUUGUCCUAGUCUAAUUAGCAGUCAACUAUAGAUUAGAUUAUUAGUAUCUCUAGUUAGCACUAGCUGGUAGUGGUUGGUGUACUAGUUAAGAGUCCGAAUGUUUAAAUACGUGUACUGCUAAGAGUACAAGCCAGAGUAGGAGUUGUGUUAGGACUUGUGCGUGUCCUAGUCAAAGUAGACUUAGGAGUUUAAGUUUGGGUCGGUUUGCUACUUGCUGGCUGGGAGCGGAUAGCUCCCACAUAUACACGGGCAGGCCUUGGCUAUUGUAUCGUGGCGAGAAAACAGAAAAUAAAAAGAGAAACAAAGGGCACGACAAGGGCCUUUGGCUAUCAGUUUUUUGUGCGCGUGUUGGUCAUACUGUGAUGUGAUCGAUCCUAUGGAAGAGUUCCAAGAGCAUCCAGAUCUCAAGAACGUCAGUUUGAAGCUGAAUAGCUGAUUAAGUACCUACUUCUCCUAUGUAAUGAAUAAGGCAUCAAGAGUAGUAUGCGGAGCAUCAGUAAGGCAUCUCCUUGCAGCCAUAUUUGCUUGAAUUAUUACCUUUCUUCUCCUUGUAAUAUGUUGCCGUACAUGUCUGCAUCUCUGGCUGGGUUAUGUUACUUCAAUUUGUAUCUUAAUUUGGCUGCUUUACUUUU
This is a long non-coding RNA of Triticum aestivum (bread wheat), 2656 nucleotides long. RefSeq lists it as uncharacterized. The record is from RefSeq and is a predicted model, not a curated record. NCBI's taxonomy places the organism in Eukaryota, Viridiplantae, Streptophyta, Magnoliopsida, Poales, Poaceae. The transcript has 2 exons.